UGGGGAAUAUUGGGCAAUGGAGGGAACUCUUACCCAGCAAUGCCGCGUGAGCGAAGAAGGCCUUCGGGUUGUAAAGCUCUUUGAUUGGGGACGAAGCAAGUGACGGUACCCAAGGAACAAGUCCCGGCUAACUAUGUGCCAGCAGCCGCGGUAAUACAUAGGGGACUAGCGUUGUCCGGAAUUACUGGGCGUAAAGGGUGUGUAGGCGGUUUUUUAAGUUGGAAGUGUAAUACCCAGAGCUUAACUCGGGUGCUGCUUCCAAAACUGGAAGACUAGAGUAUGGGAGAGGAUAAUGGAAUUCCUAGUGUAGCGGUGGAAUGCAUAGAUAUUAGGAGGAACACCAGAGGCGAAAGCGAUUAUCUGGACCAUAACUGACGCUGAGGCACGAAAGCGUGGGGAGCGAACAGG
Molecule: ribosomal RNA, 408 nt
Filed under: uncultured bacterium
Lineage: Bacteria
Description: bacterial SSU rRNA
Rfam family: Bacterial small subunit ribosomal RNA
Source: RNAcentral